Hyla sarda is the source of this 533-nucleotide long non-coding RNA. RefSeq lists it as uncharacterized. The record is from RefSeq and is a predicted model, not a curated record. The transcript has 3 exons. NCBI's taxonomy places the organism in Eukaryota, Metazoa, Chordata, Amphibia, Anura, Hylidae.
UGACUACAGCUGUGAGUGUGUGAAUGUCCUUCAACACCCCUUUAUACAAAUGUAGCACUAGGACCUGCAGAGCUUUCAGUCGCCAUGGCAUCGCGCAUGCUCCAAGGUCCUUUUGCCUUUUUCAUCAGAUAUCACGUCACCAGGAACUGAGCCUUUUUAAUUGGUACUCUACUGGCCAAAGGGUUCCCCUGAAACUAAAAGUAAGACACGAGUAGAGGCAGAGUACAUUAUGCAGAGCAGGACACAGCUAGGUCAAUCAAGAUGUGGAUGAAGGACCACCAGAUCAAGAACCUGUCAUGACCAACCCUGAACCCCAUUGAAAACCUUCAAAAUUUGCUAAAGAGGAAGAUGGAUGGUCACAAGCCUUCAAACAAAGCCAAGCUACUUGAACUUUCGUGCCAGGAGUGCCAUAAUGUCAUCCAACGGCAAUGGGAGAGACUGGCUGAGAGCUCAGACCAGGGUUAUUCCACCAAAUCUUCCUAAGUUAAAACAUUAGAAUUUUGUUCUUGAAAAAUUAGUUACUUUUCUUUGCA